CCUCUCCAAGUGUCUUUUCAUUCAGGGAAAACUGUUGUUUGCCGAGCCCAAGGAUGCGGGCUUUCCAUUUAGCCAGGAUAUCAAUAGCCAUUUGGCCAGCCUCUCAAUGGCUAGAAACACGAGCCCCACUCCAGACCCCACUGUUAGAGAGGCUUUGUGUGCCCCGGAUAACUUAAAUGCGAGUAUUGAAAGUCAGGGCCAGAUUAAGAUGUACAUCAAUGAAGUGUGUCGGGAGACUGUGUCACGUUGCUGCAACUCAUUUCUGCAGCAGGCCGGAUUAAAUUUGUUAAUAAGCAUGACAGUUAUUAAUAACAUGCUUGCCAAGUCCGCUUCAGACUUGAAGUUUCCUUUGAUAUCAGAGGGAAGUGGAUGUGCUAAGGUUCAGGUUUUGAAACCGCUGAUGGGUUUGUCUGAAAAGCCAGUCUUGGCGGGGGAGUUAGUCGGUGCCCAGAUGCUCUUCUCAUUCAUGUCCCUCUUUAUCAGAAAUGGAAACAGAGAGAUUCUCCUGGAAACCCCUGCCCCAUAAACGGCCCUCUCGAACACAAUGGGACGGAAUCCACCCACAACGCGCUUGGUUUGCAGAUGUCAAAGAAUCUGCAGAGGGUGCUACUGAAGAUCCAGCCUUAGCCAAUCACCACCUCAUUGGGUGAAAGUUCCAGGGCUCAAUCCAGGACCACACUCUUAUUGGCCAGGCAGGGGCUCCCACAGAGCUUUGAGUAACUUCUUGGUUGUGCAGUCUGCAGGCAAUGUUGGCAUUGUAAAUUCCUCCCUUGCAGCCUCCUUCAUGUGGUGAGGGGAUCACUUCAGCUGCCUGCUGUGGACAAAGAACAUCAAAUUACAGCAUCACGAGUGCUAUUGUUGCCUGUGGUGGUCUCCCUGUCCAAGCGGGACCGCUUUGCAGAGACCAGAGGCAUAUCGCGGCUUGAGCUGAAAAUGCAUUUGUUGCAGCUUAGGUUGAAUUAUUUUUCGUUUGCUCUUUCUUCUACACGCGCCUGAUGGAUAGUGAACCUAUUCAUCAAAAAAGUGCACUGCUCUUCUGUCUAUUGUACCGACUUAACCUCUUCCACCCAAGUCCGCAUCUGUGUGUAUCAUCAAUAAAGUUGUGUGCUUUGAUUGGCAGAAAAGAG
This 1127-nucleotide long non-coding RNA is filed under the name Homo sapiens (human). Its description in RNAcentral is "non-protein coding lnc-ARMCX3-5:2". Lineage: Eukaryota; Metazoa; Chordata; Mammalia; Primates; Hominidae. The record is from RNAcentral.